RNAcentral lists this unclassified non-coding RNA (314 nucleotides) under plant metagenome. RNAcentral describes it as "partial contains 5.8S ribosomal RNA, internal transcribed spacer 2, and large subunit ribosomal RNA". The stretch from base 1 to 105 matches the Rfam family "5.8S ribosomal RNA", at positions 50 to 154 of the family's 154-position model. The record is from RNAcentral.
GAAACGCGAUAGUUAAUGUGAAUUGCAGAAUUCAGUGAAUCAUCGAGUCUUUGAACGCACAUUGCGCCCAUAGGUAUUCCUUUGGACAUGUCUGUUUGAGCGUCAUUACAACCCUCAGCUAACCGCUGGUUUUGAACCUGAACGGGUGACACCGCGCCGGUUUUAAAGUUGUAAGCUCUGCUGGCCGCUCUGCCCAACCAGAACAUAGUAAGCACUACUUGUCCGGGUGAAGCUGAACGGUACGGCCUGAACAAAACCUACCCACUCUCAAGGUUUGACCUCAGAUCAGACAAGGAUACCCGCUGAACUUAAGC